Molecule: ribosomal RNA, 487 nt
Filed under: uncultured bacterium
Lineage: Bacteria
Description: bacterial SSU rRNA
Rfam family: Bacterial small subunit ribosomal RNA
Source: RNAcentral
CUACGUGCCAGCAGCCGCGGUAAUACGUAGGGUGCGAGCGUUAAUCGGAAUUACUGGGCGUAAAGCGGGCGCAGACGGUUACUUAAGCAGGAUGUGAAAUCCCCGGGCUCAACCUGGGAACUGCGUUCUGAACUGGGUGACUAGAGUGUGUCAGAGGGAGGUAGAAUUCCACGUGUAGCAGUGAAAUGCGUAGAGAUGUGGAGGAAUACCGAUGGCGAAGGCAGCCUCCUGGGAUAACACUGACGUUCAUGCCCGAAAGCGUGGGUAGCAAACAGGAUUAGAUACCCUGGUAGUCCACGCCCUAAACGAUGUCGAUUAGCUGUUGGGCAGCAUGACUGCUUAGUAGCGUAGCUAACGUGUGAAAUUGACCGCCUGGGGAGUACGGUCGCAAGAUUAAAACUCAAAGGAAUUGACGGGGACCCGCACAAGCGGUGGAUGAUGUGGAUUAAUUCGAUGCAACGCGAAGAACCUUACCUGGUCUUGACAU